ACCUGGCUGGCUUAGUCGGUAGAGCAUGUGUCUAUUGAUCUCAGGGUGGUGAGUUCAAGCCCCAUGCUGGGCA
RNAcentral lists this transfer RNA (73 nucleotides) under Felis catus (domestic cat). It matches the Rfam family "tRNA". From Rfam's summary of the family: Transfer RNA (tRNA) molecules are approximately 80 nucleotides in length. Their secondary structure includes four short double-helical elements and three loops (D, anti-codon, and T loops). Lineage: Eukaryota; Metazoa; Chordata; Mammalia; Carnivora; Felidae. RNAcentral also lists the same sequence under 4 other names. The record is from Rfam by way of RNAcentral.